GUGGGGAAUAUUGGACAAUGGGCGAAAGCCUGAUCCAGCCAUGCCGCGUGUGUGAAGAAGGUCUUCGGAUUGUAAAGCACUUUAAGUUGGGAGGAAGGGCAGUAAGUUAAUACCUUGCUGUUUUGACGUUACCGACAGAAUAAGCACCGGCUAACUUCGUGCCAGCAGCCGCGGUAAUACGAAGGGUGCAAGCGUUAAUCGGAAUUACUGGGCGUAAAGCGCGCGUAGGUGGUUUUGUAAGUUGGAGGUGAAAUCCCCGGGCUCAACCUGGGAACUGCCUCCAAAACUGCAUGACUAGAGUACGGUAGAGGGUAGUGGAAUUUCCUGUGUAGCGGUGAAAUGCGUAGAUAUAGGAAGGAACACCAGUGGCGAAGGCGACUACCUGUACUGAUACUGACACUGAGGUGCGAAAGCGUGGGGAGCAAACAGGAUUAGAUACCCGAGUAGUCC
This 450-nucleotide ribosomal RNA is filed under the name uncultured bacterium. RNAcentral's name for it is "partial 16S ribosomal RNA". It matches the Rfam family "Bacterial small subunit ribosomal RNA", at positions 354 to 796 of the family's 1533-position model. The record is from RNAcentral.